RNAcentral lists this unclassified non-coding RNA (329 nucleotides) under soil metagenome. RNAcentral describes it as "partial contains 5.8S ribosomal RNA, internal transcribed spacer 2, and large subunit ribosomal RNA". The stretch from base 1 to 120 matches the Rfam family "5.8S ribosomal RNA", at positions 35 to 154 of the family's 154-position model. The record is from RNAcentral.
GAUGAAGAACGUAGCGAAAUGCGAUAAGUAGUGUGAAUUGCAGAAUUCAGUGAAUCAUCGAAUCUUUGAACGCACAUUGCGCCCCUUGGUAUCCCGAGGGGCAUGCCUGUUCGAGCGUCAUUUCACCACUCAAGCCUGGCUUGGUGUUGGGCGACGUCCCCUUUGGGGACGCGCCUCGAAACGCUCGGCGGCGUGGCACCGGCUUUAAGCGUAGCAGAAUCUUUCGCUUUGGAAGUCGGGGCCCCGUCUGCCGGAAGACCUACUCGCAAGGUUGACCUCGGAUCAGGCAGGGAUACCCGCUGAACUUAAGCAUAUCACUAAGCGGAGGA